AAGGGGAUUAAAAUCUGUGUUCACAGGCUGAGAGCAGGUGUCUGUGAUGAGACCCCAUGCUGUGACAUGGAUGCAGCACAUUCUUACAUGAAAAGCCCUGGCUGAUGAAAUGACCACAGGAAGACAACAUGGAACCCUCCCAGCACUAUCAGAAGAAGCUUAAUUAAGCUCUGUGGUUAAAUUUAAAGACUUUUUGUCAGAAGCAUGGCAAGCAACUUCAGUUUGGCUUUCUAAAGUGCUGAACACCCAAAACUCCUACCAAGGCUUUCUGGAAUUACAGAGGCACAGUGGGAGCUCAAGUGGCACACAAGCUGUGAGACCCAGAGGGCCCAAGAUGGGCUUUGCCCAGGGAAAGAGAGACACAGGUACCUCAGAAUAAGCUGCAUCCUUACAAGGGUAGUAACUGUGCCAGGAGAAUAUGUUCCCAUGACUUUUAAUAAGGGGAUGGUAGAGAGAAGGUCAGUUUCAGCUCCAGAAUUCUCCUUGCCACUGCUGAUAAGCAUGCCUUGUCACAGUUUUGCUGUGAGAUUUUCUGCAUGGGGCUGUAUCUCCAGUUUCAACAUCCCUUGUCAGAGAACUGAUAUUUCAUCUUUUACAAGAUUUACAAGAAAAAGAAAUAAUAUAUGCACCACAGUGGAAAAGCAUGUCUCUGUUCAUACCUUUGCAUUUUACAGGAAAAUAUGUCAUUCCUUUCAGAUCCAUGAAUUAAGAUGCACUAUUUUUUGCUGAAGGCUAUUUUAAAUUAGGCUAAUAAAUUGCUGCUCUCUGCCUUGCGUGAUAAUGCAUUACAUUAUCUACUGAUGUACACGUAUUGUUUGACUCUAAUGGUGUGGAAAUUAAAUGUUAGACAUGGGCCAGAUGUUCCUAUAGAUGAAUAUGAAGUAUGACUCUGUCGUAGCUGAGUCUCAAUGGGACAGAAGGUAGACGGUGAGGGUUUUUGAACAACAGCAACACAAAACCUUAAGUGGGUCACUUGCAUCCACACCCAAGAUCCAGUCCUAACACUGAGCGGUUGAGCAGCAUUACCAACCUGAGCUCCACUAUUAUUCCUCAGUCAGAGCCAGUGCCUUUCUUAUUUCUAAUGCCUCAAUGCUUGUAAAGCCACAAAGAAUGGCUCAUAGAGAUGGCAAAUGCUUGCGGUCCUUGU
This is a long non-coding RNA of Serinus canaria (Common canary), 1147 nucleotides long. RefSeq lists it as uncharacterized. The transcript has 6 exons. Lineage: Eukaryota; Metazoa; Chordata; Aves; Passeriformes; Fringillidae. The record is from RefSeq and is a predicted model, not a curated record.